Molecule: long non-coding RNA, 468 nt
Organism: Clupea harengus (Atlantic herring)
Lineage: Eukaryota; Metazoa; Chordata; Actinopteri; Clupeiformes; Clupeidae
Exons: 3
Source: RefSeq, a predicted model, not a curated record
UUACUCUGCCUAUUUCAUAAACGACAUACGCUCGUUUCCAGAGUCGUGUUUUCAAAGAGGCUGCAUGUCAGACUGCAUGUAAAGGCGACCCCGGAGUGAAAGAAACUGCGUGUCAAACAUGUCCAGUGGGUCUGCAUCAUGCCGCUGUACAAGUUAAUGUGAAGCCCUUCAGGAGAAGUAAGGGCACCCAGGCCAGGCCCAGGCGUGCAGUGUGUGCCGAGGACUCAAGCUCCCACCUUGAGGGGAAUGAGAGUAGCACUGAUGGGGAAAGUGCAGACGAGGUGGUCGUGAAGUUGGAGUGCCUGCUACAGCUGUUCCAGAAGUGCUUAGCGUGCUGCAGUGAGUGCAGCAUCAGUACGGAGCGUGACGGCUGGUUCUUCUACGUCACGCAGAAGUGUCAGCAGUGCCACUACAGCAGGAACUGGGUCAGCCACCCGACCGACCAGAUCAUCAGAGACCCAGCAGACA